This 744-nucleotide ribosomal RNA is filed under the name uncultured prokaryote. RNAcentral's name for it is "bacterial SSU rRNA". It matches the Rfam family "Bacterial small subunit ribosomal RNA", at positions 28 to 790 of the family's 1533-position model. The record is from RNAcentral.
GAUGAACGCUGACAGAAUGCUUAACACAUGCAAGUCGAUUCGAUUUACCUUCGGGUAUUGAGGAUGGCGGACGGGUGAGUAACGCGUAAGGAACUUGCCUCUUGGUCUGGGACAACUGUUGGAAACGACAGCUAAUACCGGAUAUUAUGAGAUUCUCGCAUGGGAAACUUAUGAAAGCUAUAUGCGCCAAGAGAGAGCCUUGCGUUCCAUUAGCUAGUUGGUGGGGUAACGGCCCACCAAGGCGACGAUGGAUAGCCGGCCUGAGAGGGUGAACGGCCACAAGGGGACUGAGACACGGCCCUUACUCCUACGGGAGGCAGCAGUGGGGAAUAUUGGACAAUGGGCCACAAGCCUGAUCCAGCAAUUCUGUGUGCACGAUGAAGGUCUUCGGAUUGUAAAGUGCUUUCAGUUGGGAAGAAGAAAGUGACGGUACCAACAGAAGAAGCGACGGCUAAAUACGUGCCAGCAGCCGCGGUAAUACGUAUGUCGCAAGCGUUAUCCGGAUUUAUUGGGCGUAAAGCGCGUCUAGGCGGAAAAAUAAGUCUGAUGUUAAAAUGCGGGGCUCAACUCCGUAUUGCGUUGGAAACUGUUUUUCUAGAGUACUGGAGAGGUGGGCGGAACUACAAGUGUAGAGGUGAAAUUCGUAGAUAUUUGUAGGAAUGCCNAUGGAGAAGUCAGCUCACUGGACAGAUACUGACGCUAAAGCGCGAAAGCGUGGGGAGCAAACAGGAUUANAUACCCUGG